AGUACUCUGCGCAAGAUCCUAGAGCUAGUAAGUGGCAGAGCUAGAGACCAAACCUGGGCAGCCUGGCUCCAAACCCCAUGCUCUGAACCAAGGUGUCAGAGGAGGAGUUUCAAACCCAGGAACAAAGGAGGAAUAAGGAAAAUGGAGGGGGCUCCAUGCAGCUCCCCAACACUGUGCCGCCUUCUCCACCUGGGCACAGGUGUCACGCAGCUUGACAGGGACGCUUCCUACCAAGAAACGUCCCCCCAUCCUGGCCCUGCCUGCAGUUGAUUGUGUGAUGUCGGGCAAGUCCCUUACCCACUCUGGCACAUAUGACAGAUGGUUGCGAAGGCCCCAUCUAUAUUUUGGAAUCAGUCUUUUUCUGCUUUGGUACCACGCCACCUGGAAAGGAAGUUGAAUACCACACUGUUGCUUCCAGGUUCAUAAUUUCCCUCCUCUUGGGCACCAAUCCCAAGCCUCAGGUCCUACGUGUCCCCUUUUAUUCACCCGAGUGCAGCCUACUUCUCUCUCCCUGCACCCUCCAACAGGUCCCACCUGGUUCAGAGACCAAGCUCUGAUGGACACGUCCAAAAGAGGCUUGUGUGUCCCCCCAUCUCUUCCUUUUCCCAAGUGCCUGGUGGCUAUGGUCCUGUAGCAGCUUCUCACCAAUGCAUGUCAGCAGAGCUGAUGUGAUAUCGGCAGAGCACACG
Molecule: non-coding RNA, 689 nt
Organism: Vicugna pacos (alpaca)
Lineage: Eukaryota; Metazoa; Chordata; Mammalia; Artiodactyla; Camelidae
Source: RefSeq, a predicted model, not a curated record